This is a long non-coding RNA of Papaver somniferum (opium poppy), 396 nucleotides long. RefSeq lists it as uncharacterized. The transcript has 3 exons. The record is from RefSeq and is a predicted model, not a curated record. Lineage: Eukaryota; Viridiplantae; Streptophyta; Magnoliopsida; Ranunculales; Papaveraceae.
GGAACGCCUUUUCUUCAUUUUUCUUUCUCAGAGAAAAACAAAAUGGCGAUUUCUAGGGUUUCUCAGAAUUCUUUGUGGAGAAAAUCUCAGCUUAGUGAUCUCUUUAGAAAGGAAAUAGGGUUGAUACGAAGCUGGAGAGAAAAGUGAGUGUGGAUAUUAAAAUGAAAUGUCUGGAAGAAGUUCAGGUGGAUGAUCUGGAGAAUGAGGAAUAUACCGAAUAUGUACUUGCUAAUCUUCGUACCUUAAAGAUGCUAGAAUUUCCAAGGAAGUUAAGCUGGCUGAAUGUGGACCUUUUUAUGCCGAAGUUUCCAUCAUCGGUCCUCAAAGUAGAGGAAUUAGCUCUCUUGAACCAUUUUUUGUACCAAUUUUAGAGAGAUGGAUGCUUUUAGAGGAAGG